AGGACGAACGCUGGCGGCGUGCUUAACACAUGCAAGUCAAGCGGAAAGGCCCUUCGGGGUACUCGAGCGGCGAACGGGUGAGUAACACGUGAGGAACCUGCCCUCAGCUCUGGGAUAGCUCCGGGAAACCGGAAUUAAUACCGGAUAUUACCCUGACCGACAUCUGUCAGGGUGGAAAGGAUUUCCGGCUGAGGAUGGACUCGCGGCCUAUCAGCUAGUUGGUGGAGUAACGGCCCACCAAGGCGACGACGGGUA
This 255-nucleotide ribosomal RNA is filed under the name uncultured bacterium. RNAcentral's name for it is "partial small subunit ribosomal RNA". It matches the Rfam family "Bacterial small subunit ribosomal RNA", at positions 26 to 285 of the family's 1533-position model. The record is from RNAcentral.